GAUGGUUCUGUGGUCCAAAUUUCUAAAUACAAGUAGCAAUCUGUACCUUCAAAAAGAACACUUAUUUAAGUAAACAAAAAUAUGUCUGUAAGGCAAUUUGCUCUUUAUUUCUGAUGUCACAUGUAUAGCAAACAAUGUCAAAGAACUUCACAGGGGGGUUACUUGUCCAUUUAGUUUGAGUUUCCUCUAAAUGAAGGUAUCUUAGUCUUAAGCAUCUAAAGAAUGAGGAUUAGUGGCACUGAGCAUAUUGAUGCAAUGCAAACUAGUAUAGUAAAGUCUAAGCUUAACUAAAUAUCAUAUAAAGGAAGUUUCAAUAGCAGGUGUCUAUUUUUAAGUAGGGCUGUUAAAGAAUUCUUUCACAACCAUAAGAAAUAUGUAAAAGCUUUAUUUGUAGAAGCUAGAUCUGUCCUAUCACAGACAGAGACUAUUGUUUUUGUAUGCUUUACUCUCAUGACAAUAUUUAUACAGAAAACAAUUAUAGUAUCAAACUACACAUCUGACCUCCAUCCAAAUUGUGUCUGCCAUGACAGACAAAGACAAAUGGAAACCUAUAUUCAACACUCCUAGUAGAGGGCAAGGCCUUAAGUGACUUAUUCCUUGAAAUUAAUAGGAUAACUUGUGUGCUUUUUAACAAACAGCAGCUUUGAGAGUGAUACUGUGGAUGGAAGAUUGGUGGAGAUGGAUGUUAACAUCAUCAGAGAUCCCUGCUUGCAGGUCCGAUAGGCGAGCCACGUCUCUUGUAGCUUGGAUAACCACCAGAGGUCAGCAAACCACAUUCCAGGGACUACCGAAAUGCCCACCUUCAAGGAGCUGCUCUGCAGAAAAUCACAUAUGCAAGCAUUUUGUUGUGACAAGCUGAGAAUGGGCCUAUCUGUGCAGGUCUGUGUGUCUGUGUGAUUUUGUGUCUUUGCUGCGGUAUAAGGCCUGGAGGGGACUGAGAGACAUUUUCUGACAGAACAGUGAUGCCAGUGCUGGGCCUUCUUAGACCCAGCGAACAGCCAAUUGAGGGUGCAAAUGAGGGAGCUGAAACUCAGGUGCAGCACAUCCCAUGCCCCGCAGGCCAGACCCCUGCUCUGCAGGAGGGUGAGUGAGCAAUUCAG
Molecule: long non-coding RNA, 1100 nt
Filed under: Parus major (Great Tit)
Lineage: Eukaryota; Metazoa; Chordata; Aves; Passeriformes; Paridae
Description: lncRNA (ENSPMJG00000017674.1)
Source: RNAcentral